This 253-nucleotide ribosomal RNA is filed under the name uncultured bacterium. RNAcentral's name for it is "partial 16S ribosomal RNA". It matches the Rfam family "Bacterial small subunit ribosomal RNA", at positions 524 to 776 of the family's 1533-position model. The record is from RNAcentral.
UACGUAGGGUGCGAGCGUUGUCCGGAAUUAUUGGGCGUAAAGGGCUCGUAGGCGGUUUGUCGCGUCGGGAGUGAAAACCAUGGGCUUAACUCAUGGCUUGCUUCCGAUACGGGCAGACUAGAGGCAUGCAGGGGAGAACGGAAUUCCUGGUGUAGCGGUGAAAUGCGCAGAUAUCAGGAGGAACACCGGUGGCGAAGGCGGAUCUCUGGGCCAUUACUGACGCUGAGGAGCGAAAGCGUGGGGAGCGAACAGG